Molecule: long non-coding RNA, 2129 nt
Filed under: Heterocephalus glaber (naked mole-rat)
Lineage: Eukaryota; Metazoa; Chordata; Mammalia; Rodentia; Bathyergidae
Description: lncRNA (ENSHGLG00100031948.2)
Source: RNAcentral
AUUUCCUCUCCUUGUCCUUUUCUUUGCCCCGUCCCUCCCUUCCUUCCCCGUCCCUCUGCCCUGCCUCUUCCAGGAAGCCUUCCUUGACCAGCAUCCCCCAUUCCCUGCCAAGCCCUCCUUGGCCGCCCUGUGAGGACUGGCCUCCCUGCUCUGUCUCCCCCGCUCCAGUGCCAGUUCCAGCUCAGGUAGGGCCUGGACCAUGAAGAUGUUAGCCUGGUCAGGGAAGGAUCCCCACCCGCACCCCCACUGCCAGCUAGACAAGGUCUGGAAAGGGCCUGAGAGGGAGGUGAUGAGAAGGCCACCUGCCAGAGUGGCAGUAGACAGGCCAACGAAAUCCUUGACCUGUGAUUUAAGGGGUCGGGCACAGUUCAAUAGAGCACUCCAGGCUGAGUCCCAGCUCUUUCACAGGGUCAGGAGGAAGAGGGGCAGAGAGGAAGGAGACCAUCACAACCUGGCUCUCUGGAGCAUGACCUGGCACCCUGAAAACCCACACUCGCAUCUACAUCCCUGCAGGCUUUCCCCGACACGUGGCCUUAGCCUUGCAGGUCCCCACGCCCGGAUCGCCCUCUCAGGCUCCUUCACAAGACCGUCGCUCUCCCACUGCCCUUCCACAACCCCACCUGCUCAAUCCCCACUGCCUCGCCACCUUCUGCCUUUCUUCCAGGGGGUUCACCACCUUCUGCAGUUCUCUCAUUGGCCUCAUUUGUGGGUCUGGAAUUCAUACUGGCCUUGGACUCACUGUGUAGCCCAGGCUGGCCUCGAACUCAUGGUGAUCCGUCCGCCUCAGCCUCCUGAGUGCUGGGAUUAUAGGUGUGGGCCACCACGCCAGCUGGAACUCCGCUUUGAUACCUCCUGAACCACAGCCCACUGCUGUGUGGCCAUCCGGGCAGGAGACCUGGCUGUCCUCAAUCAUCACUUCCUCUGCACUUGGCCUGGCACAGAGCAGAAGUCCGUAGGUGUUUGUUGGGUGGAUUCCCGAGUGAGGGGAUGAUCUAGGGAGGAGGAAAAGAUGGAGUGAAUGCAGCAGGGACUAGAGACGCCAACAAUCUCUGAGGCUCAGUUUCUUCAUCUGUAAAAGAUGGUGAUGAGGCUCUGGCCCCCUUUCUGGCUCCAGUGUGAGUCAGCUGCGAUGGGGCAGGAACCCAGAGGCCACUCCCUGCUGUCUAGGCCUGGCUCCAGGAAUGGGUAGGAGGCGCUGAAAUGACCAGAGUUCCCCUCCCCCACCCCCCGUCCCCCAGAAUUUAUAGAUUCUUCAUUGUCCUGCACAAAGGCCUUCUUGGGAGGGGCGGGGUGGGUGAGGAGACAGGGGAAUUAAAAAGUCAGAGGGUGAGUAACAGCCAGCCACACCCAGGGCCCCAUGAAUCCGCCUGGGCCCCUGUGAGACCACUGACUUGCCCUCAGAGGCUUACAGGGCUCCUGCUGCAGGGACCAGCUCGCCCUGCUCUCAGCCCUGGUGGCAGAGGGAUGGGGGCAUGUGAAUGUGUGAGGGGUGGCUCGCCUUGUGCGAUCUCCGAUCUGACCUCUGCGAGUCCUUCCUCCCAUCUUGCUCCCUGGUGGGUGGUCAGCUGUCGUUCUAGUUCGCUGCUGUUGGUUCUGAGCAGGAAAAUGUACAGUCUGCGGGUGCCUGCUUCUCUGAUGAGAAGGUCCCGAGGCCCAGACUCCAGGAAACAGCCUCCUCCCCCACUCUGGCCCCUUGGGUAGAAUUGACAGAUGGUGCCCUGUUAACAGAUGACAUUGGAAAUCGGAAUUACUCAGCUGCUUGUCCCUCUGUCAUCCCCACGGAAGGGGGUGGCCUGCAAACUGGGAACGACAGUGAACUCUAUUUUGAGGGCUAUAGAGGACAGGGAAGGAGAUGCUCCAGGGCACAGGGGACCAGAACCAGGUACACAGAAGAUCUAACUUGGAAUCUCAUCUCUACCACGUACCAGCCAGGUGACCUAGGUGCAUCCAUCACCGUCUGAGCCUCUGCUCCCUCAUCUGUCAAAUGGGUCCAUGGGAAACUGUCCUACUCUCCUCCCUGGCUUUUAGGAAGAAAAUGGGGUGGUUUGUGCUUAUAAAAUGGGCUUUAAAACUUGUGAAGGAGUAAAAAAUGUAAGAAGUUGCUGAUUAUAAACAAUAAAUGGCAGCCC